UAUGAAGGGGGCUAGCGUUGCUCGGAAUUACUGGGCGUAAAGCGCACGUAGGCGGUCUUUUAAGUCGGGGGUGAAAUCCUGGAGCUCAACUCCAGAACUGCCUUCGAUACUGGAAGACUUGAGUCCGGGAGAGGUGAGUGGAACUGCGAGUGUAGAGGUGAAAUUCGUAGAUAUUCGCAAGAACACCAGUGGCGAAGGCGGCUCACUGGCCCGGUACUGACGCUGAGGUGCGAAAGCGUGGGGAGCAAACAGG
Molecule: ribosomal RNA, 253 nt
Filed under: uncultured bacterium
Lineage: Bacteria
Description: partial 16S ribosomal RNA
Rfam family: Bacterial small subunit ribosomal RNA
Source: RNAcentral